Molecule: ribosomal RNA, 396 nt
Filed under: uncultured bacterium
Lineage: Bacteria
Description: partial 16S ribosomal RNA
Rfam family: Bacterial small subunit ribosomal RNA
Source: RNAcentral
AUACGUAGGGGGCGAGCGUUGUCCGGAAUGAUUGGGCGUAAAGGGCGCGUAGGCGGCCCGGUAAGUCUGGAGUGAAAGUCCUGCUUUUAAGGUGGGAAUUGCUUUGGAUACUGUCGGGCUUGAGUGCAGGAGAGGUAAGUGGAAUUCCCAGUGUAGAGGUGAAAUGCGUAGAGAUUGGGAGGAACACCAGUGGCGAAGGCGACCUACUGGACUGUAACUGACGCUGAGGCUCGAAAGUGUGGGGAGCAAACAGGAUUAGAUACCCCGGUAGUCCACACUGUAAACGAUGAUUGCUAGGUGUGGGGGGUCUGACCCCUUCCGUGCCGGAGUUAACGCAAUAAGCAAUCCACCUGGGGAGUACGGCCGCAAGGUUGAAACUCAAAUGAAUUGACGGGG